CGCGGAAUAGAGCAGCUCGGUAGCUCGUCGGGCUCAUAACCCGAAGGUCAUAGGUUCAAAUCCUAUUUCCGCAACCA
This 77-nucleotide transfer RNA is filed under the name Sulfurimonas sp. Its description in RNAcentral is "tRNA-Met". It matches the Rfam family "tRNA". From Rfam's summary of the family: Transfer RNA (tRNA) molecules are approximately 80 nucleotides in length. Their secondary structure includes four short double-helical elements and three loops (D, anti-codon, and T loops). RNAcentral also lists the same sequence under 5 other names. Lineage: Bacteria; Pseudomonadati; Campylobacterota; Epsilonproteobacteria; Campylobacterales; Sulfurimonadaceae. The record is from RNAcentral.